Molecule: non-coding RNA, 88 nt
Organism: Triticum aestivum (bread wheat)
Lineage: Eukaryota; Viridiplantae; Streptophyta; Magnoliopsida; Poales; Poaceae
Source: Rfam
GCUGGCAAGUGAUGAACAGAUAUCCUACACUCUCAAUGGAAAAUUCCACGUGUGGACUAAUAAUCUCCGCUUAUUAUCUGAUGCCUUG